This 1346-nucleotide ribosomal RNA is filed under the name uncultured bacterium. RNAcentral's name for it is "partial 16S ribosomal RNA". It matches the Rfam family "Bacterial small subunit ribosomal RNA", at positions 28 to 1381 of the family's 1533-position model. The record is from RNAcentral.
GACGAACGCUUGCGGCGUGCUUAACACAUGCAAGUCGAACGGAAAGGCCCUGCUUUUGUGGGGUGCUCGAGUGGCGAACGGGUGAGUAACACGUGAGUAACCUGCCCUUGACUUUGGGAUAACUUCAGGAAACUGGGGCUAAUACCGGAUAGGAGCUCCUGCUGCAUGGUGGGGGUUGGAAAGUUUCGGCGGUUGGGGAUGGACUCGCGGCUUAUCAGCUUGUUGGUGGGGUAGUGGCUUACCAAGGCUUUGACGGGUAGCCGGCCUGAGAGGGUGACCGGCCACAUUGGGACUGAGAUACGGCCCAGACUCCUACGGGAGGCAGCAGUGGGGAAUAUUGCACAAUGGGCGGAAGCCUGAUGCAGCAACGCCGCGUGCGGGAUGACGGCCUUCGGGUUGUAAACCGCUUUCGCCUGUGACGAAGCGUGAGUGACGGUAAUGGGUAAAGAAGCACCGGCUAACUACGUGCCAGCAGCCGCGGUGAUACGUAGGGUGCGAGCGUUGUCCGGAUUUAUUGGGCGUAAAGGGCUCGUAGGUGGUUGAUCGCGUCGGAAGUGUAAUCUUGGGGCUUAACCCUGAGCGUGCUUUCGAUACGGGUUGACUUGAGGAAGGUAGGGGAGAAUGGAAUUCCUGGUGGAGCGGUGGAAUGCGCAGAUAUCAGGAGGAACACCAGUGGCGAAGGCGGUUCUCUGGGCCUUUCCUGACGCUGAGGAGCGAAAGCGUGGGGAGCGAACAGGCUUAGAUACCCUGGUAGUCCACGCUGUAAACGGUGGGUACUAGGUGUGGGGUCCAUUCCACGGGUUCCGUGCCGUAGCUAACGCUUUAAGUACCCCGCCUGGGGAGUACGGCCGCAAGGCUAAAACUCAAAGGAAUUGACGGGGCCCCGCACAAGCGGCGGAGCAUGCGGAUUAAUUCGAUGCAACGCGUAGAACCUUACCUGGGUUUGACAUGGAUCGGGAGUGCUCAGAGAUGGGUGUGCCUCUUUUGGGGUCGGUUCACAGGUGGUGCAUGGCUGUCGUCAGCUCGUGUCGUGAGAUGUUGGGUUAAGUCCCGCAACGAGCGCAACCCUUGUUCACUGUUGCCAGCACGUUAUGGUGGGGACUCAGUGGAGACCGCCGGGGUCAACUCGGAGGAAGGUGGGGAUGACGUCAAGUCAUCAUGCCCCUUAUGUCCAGGGCUUCACGCAUGCUACAAUGGCUGGUACAGAGAGUGGCGAGCCUGUGAGGGUGAGCGAAUCUCGGAAAGUCGGUCUCAGUUCGGAUUGGGGUCUGCAACUCGACCUCAUGAAGUCGGAGUCGCUAGUAAUCGCAGAUCAGCAACGCUGCGGUGAAUACGUUCCCGGGGCU